Molecule: ribosomal RNA, 643 nt
Filed under: uncultured bacterium
Lineage: Bacteria
Description: bacterial SSU rRNA
Rfam family: Bacterial small subunit ribosomal RNA
Source: RNAcentral
CGCGGCCUAUCAGCUUGUUGGUGAGGUAAUGGCUCACCAAGGCUUCGACGGGUAGCCGGCCUGAGAGGGCGACCGGCCACACUGGGACUGAGAUACGGCCCAGACUCCUACGGGAGGCAGCAGUGGGGAAUAUUGCACAAUGGGCGCAAGCCUGAUGCAGCAAUGCCGCGUGCGGGAUGACGGCCUUCGGGUUGUAAACCGCUUUCAGUAGGGACGAAGCUAACGUGACGGUACCUACAGAAGAAGGACCGGCUAACUACGUGCCAGCAGCCGCGGUGAUACGUAGGGUCCGAGCGUUGUCCGGAAUUAUUGGGCGUAAAGGGCUUGUAGGCGGUCCGUCGCGUCAGGAGUGAAAACUCGGGGCUUAACCCCGAGCCUGCUUUUGAUACGGGCGGACUAGAGGGAUGCAGGGGAGAACGGAAUUCCUGGUGGAGCGGUGGAAUGCGCAGAUAUCAGGAGGAACACCGGUGGCGAAGGCGGUUCUCUGGGCAUCACCUGACGCUGAGAAGCGAAAGCGUGGGGAGCAAACAGGCUUAGAUACCCUGGUAGUCCACGCCGUAAACGGUGGGCACUAGGUGUGGGGGACAUUCCACGUUCUCCGUGCCGAAGCUAACGCAUUAAGUGCCCCGCCUGGGGAGUACGG